Molecule: ribosomal RNA, 595 nt
Filed under: Cryptococcus sp. DBVPG 5213
Lineage: Eukaryota; Fungi; Basidiomycota; Tremellomycetes; Tremellales; Cryptococcaceae
Description: eukaryotic LSU rRNA
Rfam family: Eukaryotic large subunit ribosomal RNA
Source: RNAcentral
ACGGCGAGUGAAGCGGGAAGAGCUCAAAUUUGAAAUCUGGUGGCCUCAGGUCAUCCGAGUUGUAAUCUAUAGAAGUGUUUUCCGUGCUGGCUCAUGUACAAGUCCCUUGGAACAGGGCGUCAUAGAGGGUGAGAAUCCCGUCCUUGACAUGAACUACCAGUGCUCUGUGAUACAUUUUCAACGAGUCGAGUUGUUUGGGAAUGCAGCUCAAAAUGGGUGGUAAAUUCCAUCUAAAGCUAAAUAUUGGCGAGAGACCGAUAGCGAACAAGUACCGUGAGGGAAAGAUGAAAAGCACUUUGGAAAGAGAGUUAAACAGUAUGUGAAAUUGUUGAAAGGGAAACGAUUGAAGUCAGUCGUGCUCUUUGGAUUCAGCCGGUUCUGCCGGUGUACUUCCUUUGAGUGGGGUCAACAUCAGUUUUGAUCGCUGGAUAAAGGCGGGAGGAAUGUAGUACCCUCGGGUAAACUUAUAGCCUCUUGUCACAUACAGUGGUUGGGACUGAGGAACGCAGCAUGCCUUUAUGGCCGGGAUUCGUCCACGUACAUGCUUAGGAUGUUGACAUAAUGGCUUUAAACGACCCGUCUUGAAACACGGACC